RNAcentral lists this transfer RNA (71 nucleotides) under Melanips sp. ZJUH 20220003. RNAcentral's name for it is "tRNA-Gln". The record is from RNAcentral. Lineage: Eukaryota; Metazoa; Arthropoda; Insecta; Hymenoptera; Figitidae.
UAUAUACAAGUGUUCAAUGCACAAAAAUUUUUGAAAUUUUUAGUAAUAAUAAUUAAUAUUAUUGUAUAUAA